GCCGAGGUGGUGAAACUGGUAGACACGCCAGACUCAAAAUCUGGUGGGGCUUCGCCUCGUGCGGGUUCGACUCCCGCCCUCGGCA
This 85-nucleotide transfer RNA is filed under the name Bacillota bacterium. Its description in RNAcentral is "tRNA-Leu". It matches the Rfam family "tRNA". Rfam says of the family: Transfer RNA (tRNA) molecules are approximately 80 nucleotides in length. Their secondary structure includes four short double-helical elements and three loops (D, anti-codon, and T loops). Lineage: Bacteria; Bacillati; Bacillota. The record is from RNAcentral.